Molecule: ribosomal RNA, 32 nt
Filed under: Hoya macgillivrayi
Lineage: Eukaryota; Viridiplantae; Streptophyta; Magnoliopsida; Gentianales; Apocynaceae
Description: partial 26S ribosomal RNA
Source: RNAcentral
CAGGUCAGGCGGGGCUACCCGCUGAGUUUAGC